CGAUGUCUGCGUUCGAUUGAAGCCCAUAAGUUAACCAGUGGGCUGCUCCCCGUUUGCCAUCCUCCCAACGCCCCCUUCGGGAGGUGACCUAGAGAACCACUCGUACUUUGACCGACCGUGUUUUUUAAAUUACCUUCCCUCGCCCGUGGCGUCCUGCUGGCAGUCGGAACCUUGCUCCUCGCCCGCCACUACGGAUGACCGUUUUCGAUGUCGGUGAGCGAGGAGAACGUCCGAGGCAGUUUUGCCAAAAGAUCAGAUGCUUCUGAGCAACAAUCAUUCCACGGCUGUGCCCGUUUGCACAUCGGCCGGCAACUGGACAUCCAAGUCUGAGUGUGGUCACUAACCCCAGGAUCUGCGCAGCAACCCCUCGUCACGGCGAGCGUCGUCUCUACGAGCUUCGCAUCGAGCGUCCUAAACGCUCAAAAGGCCUGUGCUGUGCACUUUGUGCAUUUUUUCUAGAUGGUCUAGCUGGCGAGGGUGGCGCAUGCCUUAGAGAAGUUAUCUGUUUGUUCAGUUGCACUAGCUAGCACUCACUAGGGUUGUAUAGCUACAUUAAAAAAUUGCUUAGCUGUAAGCCCGAGGUUUCGUGGGCAUGGCUUGCGGCCACACGGGUCUUCUCCGUGCCGGAAUCGAAGAGGACGGGCCACGUGUUGCGGGGUGGCGGCGUAUAGCUUCAGGUUUUAGCUGACACACAGGGUUAGCUCGCACUGCGCAGGCUACAGCUGAUAGCCGUCCUCUUACGACUGCGUCAGGGACAUGGACCCAUCCGAAUGGCCUUGCGACCCGACCCCACUAUUUCGUGACGGAGAUAGCCCGCGCGCGUCAGUGCUAUCGAGCGAAAUGUGGAAUGACGGAAGCAAACGGCAUUCGGAAAUUACCUCGCCAGCUAUUAGGCACUAACCCGCUCUACGCAGCACCUCGACGCCGGACGUCGCCUGCUGUUUUCGUCGGAGCUGGGCCGAGCAGCAGCUACAGUAAGCGGCCUGU
Molecule: long non-coding RNA, 987 nt
Filed under: Dermacentor andersoni
Lineage: Eukaryota; Metazoa; Arthropoda; Arachnida; Ixodida; Ixodidae
Description: uncharacterized LOC126541851
Source: RNAcentral